CUACGGGGUGCAGCAGUCGAGAAUCUUCCGCAAUGGGCGCAAGCCUGACGGAGCAAUGCCGCGUGAGGGAUGACGGCCCUAGGGUUGUAAACCUCUGUCAGAAGGGACGAAGAACGUGACGGUACCUUCAGAGGAAGCCAUGGCUAACUACGUGCCAGCAGCCGCGGUAAUACGUAGAUGGCGAGCGUUAUUCGGAUUUACUGGGCGUAAAGGGUCCGUAGGGGGUCUGCCAAGUCUGAUGUGAAAUCCUGCGGCUCAACCGCGGAACUGCAUUGGAAACUGGCGGACUAGAGUGUGGAGGGGUGAGCGGAAUUCCUGGUGUAGCGGUGGAAUGCGUAGAUAUCAGGAAGAACACCGAUGGCGAAGGCGGCUCACUGGCGCAUCACUGACCCUGAGGGACGAAAGCGUGGGUAGCAAACAGGAUUAGAUACCCGUGUAGUC
RNAcentral lists this ribosomal RNA (441 nucleotides) under uncultured bacterium. RNAcentral describes it as "partial 16S ribosomal RNA". It matches the Rfam family "Bacterial small subunit ribosomal RNA", at positions 339 to 795 of the family's 1533-position model. The record is from RNAcentral.